Molecule: long non-coding RNA, 580 nt
Organism: Bactrocera neohumeralis
Lineage: Eukaryota; Metazoa; Arthropoda; Insecta; Diptera; Tephritidae
Exons: 3
Source: RefSeq, a predicted model, not a curated record
UGUAUUUUGAGGAUAAUUACGAUGUGGAAACGCGAACUAAUCUUCUUCGACAGCGCCGUUUUAUUAGAGAUAAUUCUAAUCCUACAGAGCUACCUAACACGGUAUUUGUUGCGAAUUUCCGCUUAAACAAGGGCGCAUUUAUGUAUGUGCUGGAUAAAAUCAAAGACAAAUUUCAUUGUCGGAUGUCGUCUUCCAUAACGCCGAUGUUAAAAUUGUGUGCCGCGCUCAGAUUUUUUGCACAUGGCAGUUACCAACAAGCUAUAGGGAAUGAAUUUCAGUUGGGACUUGCUCAGCCAACAGUUUCCCUUAUUUUAAAAGAGAUCAUACCCAUUUUGGAAAAUGAAAUUUGUCGUACCCAUAUAAGCGUAGAUAUGAGUGAAGAAGAAAAGCAGCAGGCAAGAAGCAAAUUUUAUUCAAGAUCGGGAAUACCAAAUGUAAUAGGCUGCAUCGAUGGAACCCAUAUUGCGAUUUAUGCUCCUACCACAAACAAACACCUCUAUCUAAACAGAAAAGGAUUUUUUAGCAUAAAUGCAAUGAUUGCUUGUGAUCAUGAUAUGAAUAUCCGUUUUGUGGAUGCUAG